This 490-nucleotide ribosomal RNA is filed under the name uncultured bacterium. RNAcentral's name for it is "partial 16S ribosomal RNA". It matches the Rfam family "Bacterial small subunit ribosomal RNA", at positions 29 to 507 of the family's 1533-position model. The record is from RNAcentral.
AGUGAACGCUGGCGGCAGGCCUAAUACAUGCAAGUCGAACGGCAGCACAGUGGGGCUUGCUCCAUGGGUGGCGAGUGGCGGACGUGUGAGGAAUACAUGGGAAUCUGCCCAGUCGUGGGGGAUAACGUAGGGAAACUUACGCUAAUACCGCAUGCGCCCUUCGGGGGAAAGCCGGGGACCUUCGGGCCUGGCGCGAUUGGAUGAGCCCAUGUUCGAUUAGCUAGUUGGCGGGGUAAAGGCCCACCAAGGCGACGAUCGAUAGCUGGUCUGAGAGGAUGAUCAGCCACACUGGGACUGAGACACGGCCCAGACUCCUACGGGAGGCAGCAGUAGGGAAUAUUGGACAAUGGGCGCAAGCCUGAUCCAGCCAUGCCGCGUGAGUGAAGAAGGCCCUCGGGUUGUAAAGCUCUUUUGUCCGGGAAGAAAAGCAUCGGGCUAAUACCUCGGUGUUCUGACGGUACCGGAAGAAUAAGCACCGGCUAACUUCGUG